GGGAUUGAGAUGCUUGGGGAUUUGGUGAUGGACCCCAUAGUAGAUGUAAAUUAUGGUUUAGAAUAUUUAAAUAUUGAAUAAUUUAGUUUGUGAAAUAUAAUUGAUGUUGUAGGGGAAGAGUCAGCGGUGCCAGAAGAUUUUGAUCAGGGGACUCAGCACCCCAGUGAGUAGGUUGUGAUUCGGAUCCGUGAUUGAAUCAGUCUACAAUUUCUGUAAGAAUUCCUACAUCUGAGCACUUCUAUACAUAUAUUUGAUUUAUCGUUGGAUUUAUUUCAUAAUUAUGUUAUUAUUGUUUUAUGAGUUGAUGCGAUAUCUAUGAGGCAAAUUUAUAUCAACAUAUUUUCAUAAUUAUGUUGUUAUUGUUUUAUGAGCUGAUACGAAACCUUUGAGGCGUGCAUUGUGUUUAUAAUGAAAAUAUUGAGAUAAAUUCAUUUGGGAAGAAAUAACAUAUUUUUGAGAAUUUAUGAAAAUAUAUGACGGGAUUGAAAUGUGAUUGAACAUGUAAAACUAGACAUGUAAUGUGGGUUGGACUAACCUUGUCAUGAGAUAGCCUCUACGAGCUUAUGCGUAGGAUAG
RNAcentral lists this long non-coding RNA (576 nucleotides) under Phoenix dactylifera (date palm). RNAcentral's name for it is "long non-coding RNA (PDAC_LNC018179)". Lineage: Eukaryota; Viridiplantae; Streptophyta; Magnoliopsida; Arecales; Arecaceae. The record is from RNAcentral.